UGGGGAAUCUUGGACAAUGGGCGCAAGCCUGAUCCAGCCAUGCCGCGUGAGUGAUGAAGGCCUUAGGGUUGUAAAGCUCUUUUGCCGGGGACGAUAAUGACGGUACCUGGAGAAUAAGUCCCGGCUAACUUCGUGCCAGCAGCCGCGGUAAUACGAAGGGGACUAGCGUUGUUCGGAAUCACUGGGCGUAAAGCGCACGUAGGCGGAUUUGUAAGUCAGGGGUGAAAUCCCGGGGCUCAACCUCGGAACUGCCUUUGAUACUGCGGAUCUCGAGUCCGAUAGAGGUGAGUGGAAUUCCUAGUGUAGAGGUGAAAUUCGUAGAUAUUAGGAAGAACACCGGUGGCGAAGGCGGCUCACUGGAUCGGUACUGACGCUGAGGUGCGAAAGCGUGGGGAGCAAACAGGAUUAGAUACCCCAGUAGUCCCUGAGCGGGCUGGCAAGGCGCAU
Molecule: ribosomal RNA, 447 nt
Filed under: uncultured bacterium
Lineage: Bacteria
Description: bacterial SSU rRNA
Rfam family: Bacterial small subunit ribosomal RNA
Source: RNAcentral